RNAcentral lists this ribosomal RNA (460 nucleotides) under uncultured organism. RNAcentral's name for it is "bacterial SSU rRNA". It matches the Rfam family "Bacterial small subunit ribosomal RNA", at positions 29 to 507 of the family's 1533-position model. The record is from RNAcentral.
AGUGAACGCUGGCGGCGUGCUUAACACAUGCAAGUCGAACGGAUGAAAUAAGCUUGCUUAUUUCGUUAGUGGCGCACGGGUGAGUAAUGUAUAGCUAACCUGCCCUUUAGUGGGGGACAACAGAUGGAAACGUCUGCUAAUACCCCAUACUCCUGCGUAUCAUAAGAUAUGUUGGGAAAGAUUUAUUGCUAAAGGAUGGGGCUUUAUGGUAUCAGCUAGUUGGUGGGGUAACGGCCUACCAAGGCAAUGACGCCUACCUGGUCUGAGAGGAUGAUCAGGCACACUGGAACUGAGACACGGUCCAGACUCCUACGGGAGGCAGCAGUGGGGAAUAUUGCACAAUGGGGGAAACCCUGAUGCAGCAACGCCGCGUGGAGGAUGACGCAUUUCGGUGUGUAAACUCCUUUUAUAAGGGAAGAUAAUGACGGUACCUUAUGAAUAAGCACCGGCUAACUCCGUG